AUCACAAUAACAUUAUCUUUUAUUAGAGAUCUUAUUUUACAUAUCCCCAUGAUAUAUAAAACCUUCCAAGAGAAAAAUAUCAAAACCUUCAGUUGAAAUCAGUUUAUUUCAGACAAUAUGAGCAAAUAAACCAAAGACAUUUAAGAUAAAGGAAUGUAAAAAAAAAAAAAAAUCCAUACAGGUACAACUCUGGUAUGGAAAGUAAUUAGAAGACUUAAACCCAUUUCCUACACAACAUUGUCUUUAAAAACAUACUGGAAGGAAGGUAAGGAUUCUUGGUUCUCUUAACCAGUAGUUAUAAACCCAGCAGCUUUAAAAUAGAUAAAAAUAAAAUAAUAUGAUUAAAUUAGGUGGCCAAUGCACAGAAAAAAACCAUGAACUUAAUUGAAAUAUCCAAUAUAACAAAAAUACAGCCUAAGAAUUUAUUUAAAAUUGUUAAAAAUAAAAAUAAUCCCAAAACCCAUAGCCAUCCACAUUCUGAACCAAUUAAAGUAAAAUUUAUUAUCAGACUUUGACUGGAGUUUUGGCUUAGUUAAGGAUUUCAUGAAAGGAUCCCAAAUUGUUACGCAAAAAAAUGCAAGAUAAAGGAACAAAGAUUAAAUCUGCUGGUUAAGGGAGGCAUCUUGAUUGUACAGCUGAUGAUAAAAGAAAAGAUUGAAUGUUAUAUGAAAUUUGUUUUGGAAGCAAUUUUAACAAGCAAAAUACUUUAAAACAUUAUUGUAUCAAGAGUCUACUUUUCUACCUAACAAAACUGAAAUAGUAUUUUGAACGUUCUCUUGUACAGAACACGUAAGUCUCUGAAGCAUUUCAAUUCUGAGGAUGCAACAAAAGAAAUGUUAUGGGAAUUUUCUGCUGGCAAGCCUACCAUGCAACGAAAAAUAGUAUUUUCAAAUACUACAGCUAAUAAAAGUUACAGUACAUGUUUAUUGCAUGAAAAUAUCCAUUUACUGGAUCUGUCUGAUUUUUCCAUUUGUGGUUAGUGGUUCUUAUAUUAUUAACCUGCACCAGAUCCUAAGUAUUCCAUUAAUUACAAAACGCACAGUAGAUUGAAUCAAGUAAGGAAAUCUACACAAUCUCAGAGAUCCAACCAGUGACAAUGCAUGAAAUUAAAGUUUCACUUUCGUUUUCUUUUAAGAUAGCCUGUAGCUACAUGAUAUAAUGUGAUACACUGUGGAACAACAAUGAUGAAAUUAAAUAACAGAGUUAUUUAAUAUUAUUAAUAUUUAAUAUUAGAGUUUGAAAAUAGCACAUCUUUUUACCAGGUAUGAUGACUUUGCAUGCAUUAGUAUGAAAGCUAAGCAAUGAUGUAUGGAGAAGUAAUGCAUAAGCAAGAGAUAGAAGAAAGUUGUGAAAAUAAACAAAGAUGAGGAAACGGAAUCAUAUGCAAGCGCAUGUUUAUAUACAUUAACUGUAAACAGCAGCUCUACUUUGGGAAAUAUUUUUCACACUUGAAUGGAUCCACCACUAAAUAUGAAUUAAGUGAAAACAAAGCAAAAAUGAAGACUCCAUUCUUAAGUAAUGUGAACACUGUCAAGGUGAACACUGGCAAUGUAAGUGAGGUUGCAAGUUUGAAAAAUCUUAAAAUAUAGGCACAUGAUUCUGAAUUAACAGGUCACCACAGUGUGUGACAUGCAAGCACAUGUUCUGCUGGGUUUGCCAACUAUGCCUUGCUUACUAUCAACUCUCUGCAUCAAACUGCAAUUUCUUUUUGAAAGCAGCUGAAUUUAGAUUUUAC
RNAcentral lists this long non-coding RNA (1735 nucleotides) under Strigops habroptila (Kakapo). RNAcentral describes it as "lncRNA (ENSSHBG00005003619.1)". Lineage: Eukaryota; Metazoa; Chordata; Aves; Psittaciformes; Psittacidae. The record is from RNAcentral.